Rhipicephalus microplus (southern cattle tick) is the source of this 681-nucleotide long non-coding RNA. NCBI's taxonomy places the organism in Eukaryota, Metazoa, Arthropoda, Arachnida, Ixodida, Ixodidae. The record is from RefSeq and is a predicted model, not a curated record.
UUGCGCUUAAUAAACCACGGAGGAAGGAAAGGAAAUAAACUAACCAAGCUACCCCAACGAACAUCAGUUAUACUAAACGAGCACGAGACGCUAGAGCGCAUAUUACCCAUAAUUGUGGCUUUGUGCUUGGAUUUCAUUACUUCACUGAUGGCGCCAGCUAGCGCACUUCCGCGCCAGUGUAUUGGUGAUCUGUGCUUCCGCGCGUCCUCAAAUUCCGCCUUCGCAUCGUUCACAGAUUUGCUUUUGUGUCCGGCACUUGGUUUGGCUUUGCCUGGAGAAGAGCUUCACUAUCCUGGAUAGUCUCGUGGACAGCUGGCCUGGAUUCCUGAGCAGGGAUGGUGUCCACCCCAGCCGGCUUGGCAACAAGGUGCUGGCAGACUUCCUGCACUGGGAGGCCUGUGCCUUGUCCACCCACCUAGAGAGGAGACGCAUCCAACAGUCCUACAAGGAGUCCAAGGCAUCUGCACGGAGUGGGUGGGCUCGGCAGGAGUACUUUGCCAUCAACUUGGAAGUCGAUUUUCCUGCACUUGGUCCAGUACAUUGUGGACUCACCCUGUUGUCAAGUCGUCAGGAAGUUGGAUGAUGCUGUCUUCUUCCAGCUAAAUUAUGCAACUACUGAGAAGGGGAUCAGAAUUCUAUUUUGUAGCAGUUAUUUUACAAAUAAAUGUUAGUAAAAUUUUU